The sequence is a regulatory RNA element, 153 nucleotides long. It matches the Rfam family "c-di-AMP riboswitch aptamer (ydaO/yuaA leader)". Rfam says of the family: This family represents a conserved RNA structure found upstream of the ydaO and yuaA genes in Bacillus subtilis and related genes in other bacteria. The ydaO/yuaA element is thought to act as a genetic "off" switch for the ydaO and yuaA genes in its native state. The record is from Rfam.
UCUCAAAGUACGCCGAGUUCAUGAUUGAAGCGGGGGACCCAACCGUCACGACACGUGACACGGGGUGAAUCUUCUCAGACAAGAGAAGUAGGGCAAAAUCCUAGGUAUGCCCGAAUCCGACAGCUAACCUCGCAGGCGUUUUAGGAGGGAACG